AACGCGAAGAACCUUACCAACCCUUGACAUGCCUGGACAAUCCGAGAGAUCGGACUUUCCUUCGGGACCAGUGCACAGGUGCUGCAUGGCUGUCGUCAGCUCGUGUCGUGAGAUGUUCGGUUAAGUCCGGCAACGAGCGCAACCCACAUCUUUAGUUGCCAGCAGGUUAAGCUGGGCACUCUAGAGAAACUGCCCGUGAUAAGCGGGAGGAAGGUGUGGAUGACGUCAAGUCCUCAUGGCCCUUACGGGUUGGGCUACACACGUGCUACAAUGGCAGUGACAAUGGGUUAAUCCCAAAAAGCUGUCUCAGCUCGGAUUGGGGUCUGCAACUCGACCCCAUGAAGUCGGAAUCGCUAGUAAUCGCGUAACAGCAUGACGCGGUGAAUACGUUCCCGGGUCUUGUACACACCGAAU
RNAcentral lists this ribosomal RNA (414 nucleotides) under uncultured marine bacterium. RNAcentral's name for it is "bacterial SSU rRNA". It matches the Rfam family "Bacterial small subunit ribosomal RNA", at positions 958 to 1395 of the family's 1533-position model. The record is from RNAcentral.